Long non-coding RNA from Catharus ustulatus (Swainson's thrush), 2292 nucleotides. RefSeq lists it as uncharacterized. The transcript has 2 exons. The record is from RefSeq and is a predicted model, not a curated record. Lineage: Eukaryota; Metazoa; Chordata; Aves; Passeriformes; Turdidae.
GGUCCCAUUGCCCCACUGCUGCACUCCCGCUGAGCGCUUCCACAGGAAAACCUCUGUGAAAACCACAAAAAGCUUCUCAGCGGAGCAGAUGCCGCUUCAGUCUGUGUUCUUAGAGAUGGAGGAGCACGAGGAGGAUGUGAGGAAAGCCACAGCUUCCCCAGCCGCGGGGCAGCAAAGCCCCAGCGGCAGCCUCAGGGGUCAGCCCAGGAUGGUGGUUCUCCCGUGGAAAUCCUUACAGCUCCAGCCCCCGUGUUUGUUGUCAGUGGCAGCAGCAGGAGGAGGUGUGAGGAGGAGGUGCGACUCCACUGCUUUUUAAGAAAAUAAUAAAAAAGAGCCUUUCCAACCCGCCUGAGAGACAGACGGUGCAGGAGAGCGCUGCUUUGAAAGUGACUUGCACUUGACUCCUCCGUCACUGUCUGCACACAACCCACGGGCAGCAAUUUCAGCGCUGGACAGGAGCCCCAGAGACCACGAACGGCAGCAGCUCGGAGCCUCCACUUCCCUCGUGGCUCUCCAAACCGUCCAGACAUGCUGCAGGAAGAACUCCACACCUCUGGGCACCACGGCCUUCCACAGUACCCUGCCACAGCCAGACACUGCUGGGUGCACGGCUGUGGGUGCUGGAGCCUGAGCACAUGUGUGGGAUGGUCCAGGGUCUCACAGGACAGCUCUUCGUGCUGAGACUCGUCCCACUCCAUCGUUUCAUCUGUGUCUGGGAGCUGAGCAGUCCUGGGUAAAGAUGUGGAAGGCUCUGACAGGGAACACAGAGUAAGAGUGGAAAUAACUGGAGGCAAACCUUCAGUUUUCAGCGCCUACUGAACAUGUGCCUCAUCGUUCUCUUCCCCAAGUUAGCGCAGAUCAGACUCUUCUGAGGCACAGCGCCUUGCAGUGAGCUUCUGUGGCUGCAAUCUCCUCCUAAUCCAGGCUUGUUCCAGGGAAAACAGGCAAUUUUAUAUCCCUUUGAUAUAGGUCUGAGCUGCUAAUGGUGCUAGGAAGUAAAAAGAAAUGGGCAUAGAAAUACACAACUAUGAAGAAUUAAAAUAGUGAAUUUAAUUCAGCCAAUUCCAACAAAAACGGUAGUUCCCUGAAAAACAAACCUUGCACAGAAAACACAGAACAGAAAUGGUUUCAUCUUGACAGCUGGUGAGAAUAACUGGGUGAAAAGGUGAAUGGAAUAUUUCUGACUUAUCUGGAAAACAAAUGGUUUCACACAUCCUGAAAAUGCCCUAUUUUUCAGUAAAUGGGUCGGUUUGGAAGGCAGUGAUUGCAAAUGCUCUGCAAGGAAAGCCCAGGUCUGUGCUCUGACACAACCAGUGACUGCAGAUGCCAAAUGUCUGGUUUUCAGAAAGCACUGAUGCUUCCCUAAAGGAAAAGCUGGGACUUCUAAAAAAUCACAGAAACCUGGAACGGUUUGGGCUGGAAGGGAAACUCAAAGCUCAUCUCACUCUAAGCCCCCAGCAAGAGCAGGGACACAUUCCACUAGACUAGCCCAGAAACCUGAAGAACAACAACCCAAAAUCUAUUAUUUUUAAGAAUCACAAGCCUGGCUUGCCCUGUGGUCCUGAUUUGGGCUCCAGGGCGCUGCAGAGUCCGAUGAAAGGACGCGAGGCUGCGGCUGUCGCCAGGCGUGUGAGGGAGCUGGCUGCACAGCCUGGCUCAGCUCCUCCAGCACUGAAAUACUCUUUCCAAAGCAAUACCAAAAAAGGUUUGUUUCUAGGUCAGGACCUCAGCACUCAAUUUUAACCAGGGGCUGACAGUCCAAUCUGAACGCAGCUGUAAAAUGGAUUCGCGGGAGAAGCUUUGGCAUUCCUUUUGUAAUUAGGAAACAGCCACUGAGCCGUGUGCCUUUAAAGGUGAAAGCUAUUUUUGACAUAAAAAUUAGCACGUAGUUCCUCUGUCAUCCCUCGGCUGCUGCGCUGGGAGCUGCGAGCGAACAGUCCAAAGAUAAGCAAGAAGUAAAAACAUGCUGAAUUACACAAAUACGUAGAAGGGGAUCAGGUUUAAUUUGUUUUAUUCUCUGACAGUUAGGAGACGAAGAGAUUUAUUUUUACACUUUUUCUCCUAAAAAGCACUGGUUAAAAGGUCUGCUUAAGCACUGAAACCCCAAUGGCAUUUAAAAACUUGAAGUGCUUUUAAUAGCUGGUUUUUGAAAAUACUGUUAAAUCUAUUUUUGAGAUGGACAAACUAAGCUACCAGUGAAGCAGGGCAGGAGUUUUUGGAAAGGCUCAGCAGUGGGAAACUCUCGUUCAUCUCUCAACAACUCAUUCCUGUACAGGGACCCUGAGAUCAAAA